UCCCUCUCCACCCGACCCACCGUCACGCCUUCUUGCUGGUCGGUGAAAUCAGCGCUCUGCACCGGGAUGACAUCGAACUCUUCCACCACCGAGUUCAACGCCCAAUUUGACUUCCGCCCGUUUCUCGAGAAAAUCGAACGCUCCGGAAGCUUCGGCGCGUGGAAAUUGAGGGUGGCGCGCGGAUGAGAGGGCGCGGGAGCUCGUUUUGCUGUGGUGAAGGCAGUGAACCUCUGAGAAGCUGUGGCGUGGACCGAAGCCAUGGCCAAGUUGGAAUGAGAUCGCGACUCGGGAGGAACUGAGUUGCCG
Molecule: unclassified non-coding RNA, 306 nt
Filed under: Hevea brasiliensis (rubber tree)
Lineage: Eukaryota; Viridiplantae; Streptophyta; Magnoliopsida; Malpighiales; Euphorbiaceae
Source: RNAcentral